RNAcentral lists this long non-coding RNA (1021 nucleotides) under Aotus nancymaae (Ma's night monkey). Its description in RNAcentral is "lncRNA (ENSANAG00000038948.1)". Lineage: Eukaryota; Metazoa; Chordata; Mammalia; Primates; Aotidae. The record is from RNAcentral.
AGAACAUUUUUAUUUCUAAAAUAGCCUUGGUACAGCUUGGGCCUUUUAUGUAUAAUUUAGCAACGGAAACCAUAACAACAAUAAUGUAUGGAUAGGAAGAGUUUAUUCUCUUGAAUGAACAAAUUAGGUCAUCAUCAAGCAGUUUUAUUUAAUGGGAAUCCCCCGUGAGGUGUUCACAUAGUGAGAAACAGUUCUUCUCCCUUUAGAAAAGAAUGCUGAAAAGAACAUUCCCCUCCGUUUCACACAAGAGUGGAAGGGCCCAGUGAAAACUGGGAACGUGCUAACUCGCGACAGUGGUGCCGGAGUGCGUCCUCCAAUCCAGCUGUCAGCGCUGUUGGGAGCAAGGCCGAGCCUGCAACCACUGCAUUCUGCACUUGCGCUAGGUCUGAGCGUUUGAAGAAGAGAGAGCAAUUCCUCCUUGCUCCCUGCUCCGUGGUUCCAGAGCAGGUCUCUGAUUUGAAACUUAUUAAUAGGCUUCCCUAAUAAGAUCAUCCAUAAAAUUCUGAGCCCCCAGUGCGUUUACCUAGUGUAAGUGUUCUUACCAGUAGCACAAAGGAAACUGAGGUUCUAAUAUUGACUCCCCACGGGCGAUGGGCAUCUCCUCCGUGGUGCAGAAGGCUGGACUCCCGGCGCUGGGAAUGACCUUGGAAACCUCUCCAGCACCUUUCUCAGCAAGCCUAGCUCUGAAACUGGGAGGGGUGGCUUUGCUGUUGAUGGUGCGUGCGGCACCGCGGGAAGGAAAUCCUGAGCUGAACUUCCCUCGGAGAGAGCGUGACCUUUCCACCAGGUCCCACGCUCGGGACAGCUCUUUCUGCCUGAAGGCAAGAGCAACUCCACCCUACCAGCAGGUGCAGCAGCAACGGCCUUUACUAGUGUCUCCACGCCUGCCUCCAGCAUCUAGAUGAACCUGGUUUUCUACAGUGCCCUGGAAGCUCCCACUCUCCCCCUUUGGCAGUGUCACAGGAGAGUCGGUAAGUGACACGUCCCUGAUCUUUCAACCUCCUGCCUCCUUCAACCGUGU